GGUUGACCUCGGGUCAGGUAGGAAUACCCGCUGAACUUAAGCAUAUC
This 47-nucleotide ribosomal RNA is filed under the name Phyllachora sp. RNAcentral describes it as "partial 28S ribosomal RNA". Lineage: Eukaryota; Fungi; Ascomycota; Sordariomycetes; Phyllachorales; Phyllachoraceae. The record is from RNAcentral.